AGUUAGACCUUGCAAGGAAUUCCCCUUGCCAAGGUUUCCUUAGUUUUCUUGCUCUUUGCGGCAUCCUCCACUACGUCAGGGCAAUCAGUGACGAGUUUUGAGUGAUUGGAAGGGUAGAGUUGAGGGUUUCUCCAUUGGUCUACCUUUUGGUUUGCAUUAGAUUUUCAAGCGUGAAUGGAUGUUGGAGUUUUCCAAUAUUUAGGGACAUGGAUUGAAGACCAAAUGCAUUAGAUGAAUCUGAAAUUUUUACAAGGGUAUACCAUAUUUGAAGCUUGCUAAUGAGGAGUUUGUUUGCCAUUGGUAAUGGAUGCAAGAAGUUAAGGAAUCUAAUAUUAAGUCACAAGAUUUUGGAAGCAAUUGCUACCAGAUGCAAGGAACUUCCACAUCUUGAAGUCAAUGGAUGUCACAACAUUCGAGCUUUGGGGCUAGAAUCCAUUGGAAGAUCUUGCCAGAUGGAGAAGGAUGCAAGUUCCUAUAAAGUCUUCAACAAGUGCAGAUGAUUUUGCCACAAGUUGAGGUUAUUACUGCUUGAUUUCAAUGGCUGAUUUAUAUAGCUUUAUUGCAUCAAGUAUCAUUUGUUAUAUGUUAGUACUUUUCCAUUUUAUAUUCUGACCAACUAAUUUUACUUUGUGAAAGUAUCUUUUUCUUCCCAAAAGAUUAAUUCUUUGUUAAUAGUAUAUUUUCCAUUGCUCUCUCUUAAAUCUGCUUUGUUACUUUUUAUCUGUUUUGAAUCUGCUUUGCUAUAGCAUAUGGUUUUCUUAAUUUGUUCUCAAUUUGGCUUAUAUGUCUGUUAUAUGUUUUUGGUUGCUACAACUAUUAGCUAAAUACAUAAGAUUCAGGCAUUCAUGUUUUCAUUUUCUAAAUUUGAUAU
Arachis ipaensis is the source of this 871-nucleotide non-coding RNA. NCBI's taxonomy places the organism in Eukaryota, Viridiplantae, Streptophyta, Magnoliopsida, Fabales, Fabaceae. The record is from RefSeq and is a predicted model, not a curated record.